CUCCCCGGGCUUUGCCUCCCGUGCCUACUGAGCUGAAACACAGUUGGUUUGAUCGCACUGGCUCAGUUCAGCAGGAACAGGGGUCCAGCCCCCUCGGAGCCUGCA
Molecule: microRNA precursor, 105 nt
Filed under: Dipodomys ordii (Ord's kangaroo rat)
Lineage: Eukaryota; Metazoa; Chordata; Mammalia; Rodentia; Heteromyidae
Description: miRNA (ENSDORG00000022047.2)
Rfam family: mir-24 microRNA precursor family (bases 14-83)
About the family: This family represents the microRNA (miRNA) mir-24 family. miRNAs are transcribed as ~70nt precursors (modelled here) and subsequently processed by the Dicer enzyme to give a ~22nt product. In this case the mature sequence comes from the 3' arm of the precursor. The extents of the hairpin precursors are not generally known and are estimated based on hairpin prediction.
Source: RNAcentral